GUUAAGAUAGGUGUUUCCGAGUUUGGGCACGUCUUGUAGUUAGACUGGCCUCCGCCCACUCUGCCGGCGAUUUGAGUUUGCCCUGCUAAAUUGUCUGGAGAAGAACGGGUGAAAGGUUAUGUCAGAGCCUCCUGAAUUAUUGCUGUGUGGGUGUGAGUGGUUGUGUGACAAAAGUCGAGCGUUCGGGUCUUUUAAUGAGAUCCAAACAGAAGUGAUAACGUAGAUAACGUGCAUGGCAUGUAGGCCUACCCUAUCCACUUGUACACCACAAAAUACAGAUAGUGAGCCUAUUACACGUUAAGUCUUGGGAAAAGAGGAAAGUUUGAACUAUGAUAAGGCUUGGACAGUGUUGGCCAACAAAGGACCUUACCUUUAUGUAUUUCUUUUUUAUUAUUAUGUAAUGUAUGCCUGAUUCAGAAGUAAUUUGCUGAAUAGACAGGCUCAAAGUCUGUUUCAGAGCUAAAUAUUUGAAAAAAAAUCCUCUCCACAUCAUUAUCUACAUUGUCUAUCUGCCCACUAGUUCUGACGGCCAACAUAAUCUUACUAAAGCCAGAACUAAUGCUUUUCCUUUAUUGGAUGCAUAGGUAUAGGCCUAGAACAUCAGACACUUGUAAAAUGCUGUGUAACACAGAAAUUAUAGCUGUUAAAAAAGAAAGAAAAAAAAAGCGGAUUUAUGCAUAGGCUAUAAUUAUCAAUAGUUAAAGAAAAGCCAUUCCAGUUAAAUAUUCCAACAGCCGGAAUUGCAUCAUGUAACACAAGUGACCACAACAAGUGUGAAUGAUUUGUGUAUCUACUUUAUUGUUUUACAUCAUUCGAAACAAACAAUCACCAAUUUAAAAUGAUGUGUUUGUUUAUUCAAGGGAUGGGCUUUCUGAGAGAAAAAAAAAAAUCGAUAAAAGGAAGGUAAUUUUACUAAAAGGGGUCAACAUGAUAA
This is a long non-coding RNA of Gadus macrocephalus (Pacific cod), 934 nucleotides long. RefSeq lists it as uncharacterized. The transcript is spliced from 2 exons. The record is from RefSeq and is a predicted model, not a curated record. Lineage: Eukaryota; Metazoa; Chordata; Actinopteri; Gadiformes; Gadidae.